Molecule: ribosomal RNA, 254 nt
Filed under: uncultured bacterium
Lineage: Bacteria
Description: partial 16S ribosomal RNA
Rfam family: Bacterial small subunit ribosomal RNA
Source: RNAcentral
UACGUAGGGGGCGAGCGUUGUCCGGAUUCAUUGGGCGUAAAGAGCUCGUAGGCGGUUUGAUAAGUCGGGUGUGAAAUCUCCAGGCUCAACCUGGAGAGGUCACUCGAGACUGUUAUGACUAGAGUCCGGUAGGGGACCACGGAAUUCCUGGUGUAGCGGUGAAAUUCGUAGAUAUCAGGAGGAACACCGGUGGCGAAGGCGGAUCUCUGGGCCUUACCUGACGCUGAGGCGCGAAAGCUAGGGGAGCGAACAGG